RNAcentral lists this unclassified non-coding RNA (520 nucleotides) under uncultured Glomus. Its description in RNAcentral is "SSU rRNA". It matches the Rfam family "Eukaryotic small subunit ribosomal RNA", at positions 569 to 1090 of the family's 1831-position model. The record is from RNAcentral. Lineage: Eukaryota; Fungi; Glomeromycota; Glomeromycetes; Glomerales; Glomeraceae.
AGCAGCCGCGGUAAUUCCAGCUCCAAUAGCGUAUAUUAAAGUUGUUGCAGUUAAAAAGCUCGUAGUUGAAUUUCGAGACCGGUUUACUGGUCGUGCUUUUGUACGUACUGGUAUUAUUGGUUUCUCCUUUCUGACGAAUCAUAAUGCCAUUAAUUUGGUGUUUUGGGGAAUCAGGACUGUUACUUUGAAAAAAUUUAGAGUGUUUAAAGCAGGCUCACGCUUGAAUACAUUAGCAUGGAAUAACGAAAUAGGACGUUUGAUUUUAUUUUGUUGGUUUCUAGGAUCGACGUAAUGAUUAAUAGGGAUAGUUGGGGGCAUUAGUAUUCAAUUGUCAGAGGUGAAAUUCUUGGAUUUAUUGAAGACUAACUACUGCGAAAGCAUUUGCCAAGGAUGUUUUCAUUAAUCAAGAACGAAAGUUAGGGGAUCGAAGACGAUCAGAUACCGUCGUAGUCCUAACCAUAAACUAUGCCGACUAGGGAUCGGAUGAUGUUAAUUUUUUAAUGACUCAUUCGGCGCCUUA